This 1501-nucleotide ribosomal RNA is filed under the name uncultured prokaryote. RNAcentral describes it as "partial 16S ribosomal RNA". It matches the Rfam family "Bacterial small subunit ribosomal RNA". The record is from RNAcentral.
AGAGUUUGAUCCUGGCUCAGAACGAACGCUGGCGGCGUGUUUAAGACAUGCAAGUCGCACGGUAUCAUUGAAGUAGUAAUAUUUUAAAUGUUCAGUGGCGCACGGGUGAGUAACAUGUGAAUUACAUGCCCUUCAGUGGGGAAUAGCCCAGGGAAACUUGGAUUAAUACCCCAUGGUAUCGCAAGAUUAAAGGUGGCCGCAAGGCUGCCGCUGAAGGAUUGGUUCGCACCCUAUCAGCUUGUUGGUGAGGUAAUGGCUCACCAAGGCUACGACGGGUACCUGGUCUGAGAGGACGAUCAGGCACACUGGAACUGAGACACGGUCCAGACACCUACGGGUGGCAGCAGUCGAGAAUAAUUCACAAUGGGGGCAACCCUGAUGGUGCAACGCCGCGUGGAGGAUGACGGUCUUCGGAUUGUAAACUCCUGUCAUCAGAGAGUAAGGUUUUGCGGUUAAUAACCGUGGGGCUUGAUAGUAUCUGAAGAGGAAGGGACGGCUAACUUCGUGCCAGCAGCCGCGGUAAUACGAAGGUCCCAAGCGUUGUUCGGAAUUACUGGGCGUAAAGAGUGCGUAGGCGGCUAGGUAAGUCAGAUGUGAAAUCCCGGGGCUCAACCCCGGAACUGCAUACGAUACUGCCUGGCUAGAGUAGUGGAGGGGCAUCUGGAAUUCUCGGUGUAGCAGUGAAAUGCGUAGAUAUCGAGAGGAACACUAGUGGCGAAGGCGAGAUGCUGGACACUUACUGACGCUGAGGCACGAAGGCCAGGGUAGCGAAAGGGAUUAGAUACCCCUGUAGUCCUGGCAGUAAACGGUGCACGCUUGGUGUGGGAGGAUUCGACCCCUUCCGUGCCGGAGCUAACGCGUUAAGCGUGCCGCCUGGGGAGUACGGCCGCAAGGCUAAAACUCAAAGAAAUUGACGGGGACCCGCACAAGCGGUGGAGUAUGUGGCUUAAUUCGAUGCAACGCGAAGAACCUUACCUGGGCUUGACAUGCAUCCCUAAAGCGGUGAAAGCCGGUCGGUCCGGCCGGAUGAUGCACAGGUGCUGCAUGGCUGUCGUCAGCUCGUGUCGUGAGAUGUUUGGUUAAGUCCAGCAACGAGCGCAACCCCUGUGAAUAGUUGCCAGCACGUAAUGGUGGGAACUCUAUUCAGACCGCCCGGGUCAACCGGGAGGAAGGUGGGGAUGACGUCAGGUCAGUAUGGCCCUUACGUCUGGGGCUGCACACGUACUACAAUGCCCAGUACAAUGAGAACCGAGACCGCGAGGUGGAGGAAAUCUAUAAAACUGGGCCCAGUUCGGAUUGGAGGCUGCAACUCGCCUCCAUGAAGUUGGAAUCGCUAGUAAUGGCACAUCAGCUACGGUGCCGUGAAUACGUUCCCGGGUCUUGUACACACCGCCCGUCACAUCAUGGAAGCCGGUCGCACCCGAAGUGCCUGCGUUAACCGCAAGGAGGUAGUGUUCUAAGGUGUAGCUGGUAACUGGGAUGAAGUCGUAACAAGGUAACC